This 1463-nucleotide ribosomal RNA is filed under the name uncultured Klebsiella sp. RNAcentral describes it as "bacterial SSU rRNA". It matches the Rfam family "Bacterial small subunit ribosomal RNA". Lineage: Bacteria; Pseudomonadati; Pseudomonadota; Gammaproteobacteria; Enterobacterales; Enterobacteriaceae. The record is from RNAcentral.
AUUGAACGCUGGCGGCAGGCCUAACACAUGCAAGUCGAGCGGUAGCACAGAGAGCUUGCUCUCGGGUGACGAGCGGCGGACGGGUGAGUAAUGUCUGGGAAACUGCCUGAUGGAGGGGGAUAACUACUGGAAACGGUAGCUAAUACCGCAUAACGUCGCAAGACCAAAGUGGGGGACCUUCGGGCCUCAUGCCAUCAGAUGUGCCCAGAUGGGAUUAGCUAGUAGGUGGGGUAACGGCUCACCUAGGCGACGAUCCCUAGCUGGUCUGAGAGGAUGACCAGCCACACUGGAACUGAGACACGGUCCAGACUCCUACGGGAGGCAGCAGUGGGGAAUAUUGCACAAUGGGCGCAAGCCUGAUGCAGCCAUGCCGCGUGUGUGAGGAAGGCCUUCGGGUUGUAAAGCACUUUCAGCGGGGAGGAAGGCGAUAAGGUUAAUAACCUUGUCGAUUGACGUUACCCGCAGAAGAAGCACCGGCUAACUCCGUGCCAGCAGCCGCGGUAAUACGGAGGGUGCAAGCGUUAAUCGGAAUUACUGGGCGUAAAGCGCACGCAGGCGGUCUGUCAAGUCGGAUGUGAAAUCCCCGGGCUCAACCUGGGAACUGCAUUCGAAACUGGCAGGCUAGAGUCUUGUAGAGGGGGGUAGAAUUCCAGGUGUAGCGGUGAAAUGCGUAGAGAUCUGGAGGAAUACCGGUGGCGAAGGCGGCCCCCUGGACAAAGACUGACGCUCAGGUGCGAAAGCGUGGGGAGCAAACAGGAUUAGAUACCCUGGUAGUCCACGCCGUAAACGAUGUCGAUUUGGAGGUUGUGCCCUUGAGGCGUGGCUUCCGGAGCUAACGCGUUAAAUCGACCGCCUGGGGAAUACGGCCGCAAGGUUAAAACUCAAAUGAAUUGACGGGGGCCCGCACAAGCGGUGGAGCAUGUGGUUUAAUUCGAUGCAACGUGAAGAACCUUACCUGGUCUUGACAUCCACAGAACUUAGCAGAGAUGCUUUGGUGCCUUCGGGAACUGUGAGACAGGUGCUGCAUGGCUGUCGUCAGCUCGUGUUGUGAAAUGUUGGGUUAAGUCCCGCAACGAGCGCAACCCUUAUCCUUUGUUGCCAGCGGUUAGGCCGGGAACUCAAAGGAGACUGCCAGUGAUAAACUGGAGGAAGGUGGGGAUGACGUCAAGUCAUCAUGGCCCUUACGACCAGGGCUACACACGUGCUACAAUGGCAUAUACAAAGAGAAGCGACCUCGCGAGAGCAAGCGGACCUCAUAAAGUAUGUCGUAGUCCGGAUUGGAGUCUGCAACUCGACUCCAUGAAGUCGGAAUCGCUAGUAAUCGUAGAUCAGAAUGCUACGGUGAAUACGUUCCCGGGCCUUGUACACACCGCCCGUCACACCAUGGGAGUGGGUUGCAAAAGAAGUAGGUAGCUUAACCUUCGGGAGGGCGCUUACCACUUUGUGAUUCAUGACUGGGGUGA